UGCAGCCUGUCCCAAGAAGCUAAGGAUACUAGGACCUUAGAAGAGGUCUCAUUUUCCAGCUUUGAGUUCUUCAUCCAGUCCCUCUUUCUCUCUCUAAGUUCAGCUUCAUUUUCUUCUUCUUGCUCUGACUUCUCUCUACUUUUCCACCACUUCCCACCGUUGAAAUUUCAAAUAGGUAAUGUGCUUUCGUUCACGGAGUUGAGAGCUUUCCCUUGAUCCGAUUAGAUUUUUGUUUUGGACGGAUCCUGUUGAACUUGCUUCUGUGCAAGAGUACUGUUUUGGAGUUUCCUCUAAAGAGUGUUGUGCUUGUAACCACUAAGGUAUGUUUGAUGGACGUAAUUCCAUGGACCUCACAGGGGGUUGCAUGGUGGUGCCUCAUGUUGUGAUCCACAGUGAAUUCUCUUGUUGAGAUUCAAGUAUGUGUAGAAUGAUUGCAUGGUAGCUCAGUCUUGGGGGUUUUCCUGACGCUCCAAUGGUCUUUCAUUCUCAAGUAGAGAGGAUUGAUCCAUGUGGUGAGGAGUAGCAGGAGGUCCUAGUCUUGGAGGCUUCCAGUAUGCUCCAGGGCGCGAAACGGACUAACCUCGUGAGUGUGGUAGGGUGGAACCCAUUGGCAACGGCUUUGCAAAGCAGUAGAGGCCACCACGAGUGCAUAACCCGCCAUAGCUCGGUAAUCAUUCUAGUCCGGACGAGUCGGUUUAUAAAGUAAUAAGUCUUGUGAUGUCAUUUUACCAUGUUUUGAGUGACUUUUGCAUGUCGUGUGAGGUUGAAUAACAUGCUUUUUUUUAUAUCUAGCUCACCCUUGCUUGUUUGUGUUGCUUGUGUAUGUUUCUUUUGCGAUGAUCAUCCACUUUGGUGGGAGUAGAUGGCGAGGAGGUUUUUUUGGAGACGGCCUUAGAAGUUGAGGACAAUGCUGCUGCCUAGUCUCCUUAGGAUGUUAUCGAUUAUUGUUAGGAUGUUAUCGAUUAUUGUCUGUAUUUUGAAAUACUGUUUCCUUUAAGUUUAAUUUCUGAAAUUACUUUGAGGAUGAGUGUAAUCAUUAAUUAUUCUUGA
This is a long non-coding RNA of Vigna angularis (adzuki bean), 1050 nucleotides long. RefSeq lists it as uncharacterized. Lineage: Eukaryota; Viridiplantae; Streptophyta; Magnoliopsida; Fabales; Fabaceae. The record is from RefSeq and is a predicted model, not a curated record. The transcript is spliced from 3 exons.